RNAcentral lists this ribosomal RNA (498 nucleotides) under uncultured bacterium. RNAcentral's name for it is "partial 16S ribosomal RNA". It matches the Rfam family "Bacterial small subunit ribosomal RNA", at positions 30 to 523 of the family's 1533-position model. The record is from RNAcentral.
AUUGAACGCUGGCGGCAUGCUUUACACAUGCAAGUCGAACGGUAACAGGCCGCAAGGUGCUGACGAGUGGCGAACGGGUGAGUAAUGCAUCGGAACGUGCCCAGUCGUGGGGGAUAACGCAGCGAAAGCUGCGCUAAUACCGCAUACGAUCUAUGGAUGAAAGCGGGGGACCGUAAGGCCUGGCGCGAUUGGAGCGGCCGAUGUCAGAUUAGGUAGUUGGUGGGGUAAAGGCUAACCAAGCCAACGAUCUUUAGCUGGUCUGAGAGGACGACCAGCCACACUGGGACUGAGACACGGCCCAGACUCCUACGGUAGGCAGCAGUGGGGAAUUUUGGACAAUGGGCGCAAGCCUGAUCCAGCAAUGCCGCGUGCAGGAAGAAGGCCUUCGGGUUGUAAACUGCUUUUGUACGGAACGAAACGGUCCUGGUUAAUACCUGGGGCUAAUGACGGUACCGUAAGAAUAAGCACCGGCUAACUACGUGCCAGCAGCCGCAGUAA